Molecule: ribosomal RNA, 429 nt
Filed under: Pseudomonadota bacterium
Lineage: Bacteria; Pseudomonadati; Pseudomonadota
Description: Proteobacteria bacterium partial 16S ribosomal RNA
Rfam family: Bacterial small subunit ribosomal RNA
Source: RNAcentral
UGGGGAAUAUUGGACAAUGGGCGAAAGCCUGAUCCAGCCAUGCCGCGUGUGUGAAGAAGGUCUUCGGAUUGUAAAGCACUUUAAGUUGGGAGGAAGGGCAGUAAGCGACUACCUUGCUGUUUUGACGUUACCGACAGAAUAAGCACCGGCUAACUCUGUGCCAGCAGCCGCGGUAAUACAGAGGGUGCAAGCGUUAAUCGGAAUUACUGGGCGUAAAGCGCGCGUAGGUGGUUCGUUAAGUUGAAUGUGAAAGCCCCGGGCUCAACCUGGGAACUGCAUCCAAAACUGGCGAGCUAGAGUAGGGCAGAGGGUGGUGGAAUGUCCUGUGUAGCGGUGAAAUGCGUAGAUAUAGGAAGGAACACCAGUGGCGAAGGCGACCACCUGGGCUCAUACUGACACUGAGGUGCGAAAGCGUGGGGAGCAAACAGG